Molecule: long non-coding RNA, 845 nt
Organism: Catharus ustulatus (Swainson's thrush)
Lineage: Eukaryota; Metazoa; Chordata; Aves; Passeriformes; Turdidae
Exons: 3
Source: RefSeq, a predicted model, not a curated record
CUACUCACCACAGCUUCCUCUUUAAGGGCAUCAGACUGCCCCUGUUGGAGGCGGUCACCCCUAUGGCCAUCUGCAAGACAGUCAGAAAGAAAAAGAGAGGAAUCGUAUCUGUCAAAGACAAAACAAUUCCUUAGAAUCUACAAGUUUUUCAGAUGCAAUGACUUUGGGGGUUAUUUUCUCCCUUCUCAAAUAGUGCAAACUCUUCCUCAGAACCAUCUGCAACACCACUGAGAUUUGAAAACCAGAACACAGAAAAAAGACCAUUAAUGGGUAACAAUCAAGGACAUUCUCAAACUCACUGCACUUAUCUUCACCUCUUCAUUGGUCUCACUCCCAAGUGAAAGAUACAAACACUACAGAAGCCAGAGAACUUCUCUAAAGAAAAUCAGCUGAUUUCUCACACAAAUCUAGUGUGAUAUUCCUCCUCCAAAUUUUUUCUGGACCUUAGUGACAAACAAAUAGAAUUAAAUAAGCAGUGACCACACAACAGAACAAAUAAACAGCAGUGAAUAUUCAAAUGGAAUUAAUGAAAUCAAGCUUCUUAUCUGCUCAUGUAGCCAAAAGCGAUGAUGUUCCACUUAUUGUGAGUGACCUCGCAGUGGCUAGGGAUAGUGUUUUGCAGUGCUGCCAGUUUGAAUGUGUACCAGAGUACACUGACACUAAAAGAAAACAUAGCUCUCUGUAGAAGACAGAAGACAUAGUGUUUAUAGGAACAAAGCAAAAAUACUAACACUUGCAAGUAGUCACUGCAAAACAUUCAGUCUGGUGAUCUGUGCACAUCACUGUGACAGCAGCAAUAAAUCACAAGCUCUGCAACUGUUCAGAGGGAAGGUUUCCUGUGAACC